CUUUCUAUAAGGACAAUUGAAUGGCCGCGGUAACUCUGACCGUGAUAAUGUAGCGAAAUCACUAGCCAGUUAAUUGCUGGCCUGUAUGAAUGGCUUAACGAGGGCUCCACUGUCUCAAUAAUAAACCGGGUGAAAUUGGAAAAACGGUAAAGAUACCGUAAAGGAAUUCUAAGACGAGAAGACCCCAUUGAGCUUUACUAUUAACUUGUAUUGCCAAAGCAAAUAAAAGGGAACUUUCCCUUGCUUUAUAAUAAAAUUGAGUAGACUAAGUGGGAAAAAAGGGAUGUUAGUCCCCUUUUUAUGGCCGAUUCAUUGGAUUGGGCCCCCAAAAGAUACCUUUUGGGGCCAUUGGCGUAGAGAGGGGGGAUCCGAUUUUCGGAUCGGCGCCGAAGGCGCCCAACCCUACUCGAUUUUUAUGAAAAACCACUCUUUUUAUUAGGAUUACUGGCUAAAACCGUACAAGUAAGGUAGUUUGGUUGGGGCGACCGCCUUCGAAAAAGUAUCGAAGGCGUACAUAAGAUUAAUCCGGGGGGGGUGUCCUUUUUUCACCCCCAAACAAACCGGGGGUAAUGCCCCAAAAAAGAUUAGUUUGACUGAGAGGGCUACAACCCGAACAGGCGCUUUUAGGUUGGGGCCCGGUUUUUACCAAGGGGCCUAAUUGACCAGCGGGCUCCUUUUUAGUCCGGGUCGAACCUAGCGGGUCAUAGUGAUCCGUUGUUAUAUUGUGGGAUAGACAACGAUCAACGAAGAA
This 751-nucleotide ribosomal RNA is filed under the name Trichoplax sp. H12. Its description in RNAcentral is "partial 16S ribosomal RNA". It matches the Rfam family "Bacterial large subunit ribosomal RNA", at positions 1907 to 2459 of the family's 2925-position model. The record is from RNAcentral. Lineage: Eukaryota; Metazoa; Placozoa; Uniplacotomia; Trichoplacea; Trichoplacidae.